AUUGUAGGGUAAUGGAUAACGUGUUGGACUUGUAUUCCAAAGGUUGUGGGUUCGAAUCUCACCUGGGAUG
Trichonephila clavata is the source of this 70-nucleotide non-coding RNA. The record is from the annotation of a GenBank genome assembly. Lineage: Eukaryota; Metazoa; Arthropoda; Arachnida; Araneae; Nephilidae.